Small nucleolar RNA from Eublepharis macularius, 84 nucleotides. RefSeq annotates it as small nucleolar RNA SNORD127. The record is from RefSeq and is a predicted model, not a curated record. The transcript has a single exon. NCBI's taxonomy places the organism in Eukaryota, Metazoa, Chordata, Lepidosauria, Squamata, Eublepharidae.
UGGCAACUGUGAUGACCCGUCUUAGCUCUGCAGUGCACGUCGUCGUGACAUGGAGACACCUGUCCCUCUAAACUGAUGUUGCCU